RNAcentral lists this ribosomal RNA (301 nucleotides) under uncultured bacterium. RNAcentral describes it as "partial 16S ribosomal RNA". It matches the Rfam family "Bacterial small subunit ribosomal RNA", at positions 509 to 809 of the family's 1533-position model. The record is from RNAcentral.
CAGCCGCCACGGGAAUACGAAGGGUGCAAGCGUUAAUCGGAAUUACUGGGCGUAAAGCGUGCGUAGGCGGUUUGUUAAGUCUGCUGUGAAAUCCCCGGGCUCAACCUGGGAAUGGCAGUGGAUACUGGCAAGCUAGAGUGUGUCAGAGGAUGGUGGAAUUCCCGGUGUAGCGGUGAAAUGCGUAGAGAUCGGGAGGAACAUCAGUGGCGAAGGCGGCCAUCUGGGACAACACUGACGCUGAGGCACGAAAGCGUGGGGAGCAAACAGGAUUAGAUACCCCUGUAGUACCUGUCUCUUAUAU